GAUGAACGCUGGCGGCGUGCUUAACACAUGCAAGUCGAACGGAGUGCUCAUGACGGAGGAUUCGUCCAACGGAUUGAGUUACUUAGUGGCGGACGGGUGAGUAACGCGUGAGGAACCUGCCUUGGAGUGGGGAAUAACAGCCCGAAAGGGUUGCUAAUACCGCAUGAUGCAGUUGGGUCGCAUGACCCUGACUGCCAAAGAUUUAUCGCUCUGAGAUGGCCUCGCGUCUGAUUAGCUAGUAGGCGGGGUAACGGCCCACCAAACCGACGAUGGAUAGGGGUUCUGAGAGGAAGGUCCCCCACAUUGGAACUGAGACACGGUCCAA
RNAcentral lists this ribosomal RNA (325 nucleotides) under uncultured bacterium. Its description in RNAcentral is "bacterial SSU rRNA". It matches the Rfam family "Bacterial small subunit ribosomal RNA", at positions 28 to 334 of the family's 1533-position model. The record is from RNAcentral.